GAUGAACGCUAGCUACAGGCUUAACACAUGCAAGUCGAGGGGCAGCAUGGUCUUAGCUUGCUAAGGCCGAUGGCGACCGGCGCACGGGUGAGUAACACGUAUCCAACCUGCCGUCUACUCUUGGACAGCCUUCUGAAAGGAAGAUUAAUACAAGAUGGCAUCAUGAGUCCACAUGUUCACAUGAUUAAAGGUAUUCCGGUAGACGAUGGGGAUGCGUUCCAUUAGAUAGUAGGCGGGGUAACGGCCCACCUAGUCUUCGAUGGAUAGGGGUUCUGAGAGGAAGGUCCCCCACAUUGGAACUGAGACACGGUCCAAACUCCUACGGGAGGCAGCAGUGAGGAAUAUUGGUCAAUGGGCGAGGGCCUGAACCAGCCAAGUAGCGUGAAGGAUGACUGCCCUAUGGGUUGUAAACUUCUUUUAUAAAGGAAUAAAGUCGGGUAUGGAUACCCGUUUGCAUGUACUUUAUGAAUAAGGAUCGGCUAACUCCGUGCCAGCAGCCGCGGUAAUACGGAGGAUCCGAGCGUUAUCCGGAUUUAUUGGGUUUAAAGGGAGCGUAGAUGGAUGUUUAAGUCAGUUGUGAAAGUUUGCGGCUCAACCGUAAAAUUGCAGUUGAUACUGGAUAUCUUGAGUGCAGUUGAGGCAGGCGGAAUUCGUGGUGUAGCGGUGAAAUGCUUAGAUAUCACGAAGAACUCCGAUUGCGAAGGCAGCCUGCUAAGCUGCAACUGACAUUGAGGCUCGAAAGUGUGGGUAUCAAACAGGAUUAGAUACCCUGGUAGUCCACACGGUAAACGAUGAAUACUCGCUGUUUGCGAUAUACAGCAAGCGGCCAAGCGAAAGCGUUAAGUAUUCCACCUGGGGAGUACGCCGGCAACGGUGAAACUCAAAGGAAUUGACGGGGGCCCGCACAAGCGGAGGAACAUGUGGUUUAAUUCGAUGAUACGCGAGGAACCUUACCCGGGCUUAAAUUGCAGAUGAAUUACGGUGAAAGCCGUAAGCCGCAAGGCAUCUGUGAAGGUGCUGCAUGGUUGUCGUCAGCUCGUGCCGUGAGGUGUCGGCUUAAGUGCCAUAACGAGCGCAACCCUUGUUGUCAGUUACUAACAGGUUCCGCUGAGGACUCUGACAAGACUGCCAUCGUAAGAUGUGAGGAAGGUGGGGAUGACGUCAAAUCAGCACGGCCCUUACGUCCGGGGCUACACACGUGUUACAAUGGGGGGUACAGAGGGCCGCUACCACGCGAGUGGAUGCCAAUCCCAAAAACCUCUCUCAGUUCGGACUGGAGUCUGCAACCCGACUCCACGAAGCUGGAUUCGCUAGUAAUCGCGCAUCAGCCACGGCGCGGUGAAUACGUUCCCGGGCCU
RNAcentral lists this ribosomal RNA (1358 nucleotides) under uncultured bacterium. RNAcentral describes it as "bacterial SSU rRNA". It matches the Rfam family "Bacterial small subunit ribosomal RNA", at positions 28 to 1381 of the family's 1533-position model. The record is from RNAcentral.